GAUAAGUGUAUUUUCUACACUUAUUCGGGACUCUAAACUAUAUAAUUUUAUUGUUCUUUUGGCAAAAUAUAAUCUAAAUUUUAUUGUAUUAAUUUUCUUAGGUAAAAUAUGUGCUUGGACGAAGAAGGAAAGAAAAGAAGCAAAAAUUGGCGAAAAGUAACAAAAUCCAAAACACGGGGAUUAAAUUGGCCAUUGAUGGAAGUUGGAGGCCAAGGCAUACAAGUCAAAAAGUGGAGGAUUUGAGAUGCAAUUAUUGAGGGACUUCGCUGCAAAUGACACAAAAUCCAUUUAUUUGGCGGCCAAUUACAGUGAAUUGGGCGCUUGUGGGCCAUUUUAAGUAUUGGGGUCAUUUUAAAUGCUUCUCCAAACUUCAGGGACCAAAGCUGAAAAUUUUC
Molecule: long non-coding RNA, 395 nt
Filed under: Olea europaea (common olive)
Lineage: Eukaryota; Viridiplantae; Streptophyta; Magnoliopsida; Lamiales; Oleaceae
Description: long non-coding RNA (OEUR_LNC000736)
Source: RNAcentral